Molecule: long non-coding RNA, 2087 nt
Organism: Carassius carassius (crucian carp)
Lineage: Eukaryota; Metazoa; Chordata; Actinopteri; Cypriniformes; Cyprinidae
Exons: 2
Source: RefSeq, a predicted model, not a curated record
AGAUCCACUUUAAGGUUGUUGUUAGCACAGAUCCAGUGGUUUGUGAGGUCACUUUGCUGUUGCUUGAACUGUUUCACUGGGCGAUAGGGUAAAUCUUUACGGUCACGAUGCACAAAUGUUUCAGGGUUAUCUCUUUUAGAGCUUGUUACUGUUUGUCCACACUUACAAUUGCAAAUGGAUGAUUUGCAGGUAACACUAUGAAUGAACUUGUAGAUUUAAGUUCUUUUCACUCUUUCGGGAUUGCAGACUAUCAGGAUCCGAGUAUUAUAUUAUUUUUGAAAUGUGAAUGUCUAAAAUAUGAAUUGAACUAUAGCCUUUGAGUAACUAUUAUUUUGGAGUAAGAAGAAAAAUACAUUAUAAUUGAAAUCUCAUUUAGAAUAUUAAGUCUCAUUCACCCAUUUUUUGUAAAGGUGGCCUUUUUAAUGAUGCAGUGGGUGAGAUAAAUUUUUUGUCAUGCUGGCUUGAUUCUGUUCUGUUUCAUUCUUGUUUUUAUACCCUGACAAGGUGGGUUUUGUAUUAUUAUUUCGAGCAGGAGGAAGGGAUGUAAGGUGACACACGCUCUAACCUUGCCUUCCUUGUCAGUCGAUAAGUUGUAGAAUAAGUAUAUUCACAUUGACUGUACCUGUAACUUUUUAUAGAUAUUUUUUUUCUGUCAAGGGCCAUAAAAACCACUCCGAAAAAUGCCGCAUCCAUUCAACGUUUUACAUUAUUUUACUUGCAUAUCUUUGUUGUUUUGUGAUAUUUUUUACAUAAUCAGUUUUUUUCUGUUGCCAAAGGAUGUAUUUAAUUUGCUAAAUAUGUACUGUAUGCCUUUGAUUCUUUAACUCUCAUUGUUUAGUGUGUGUGUGAGAGAGGACACAAAGCCACUGAGAAAAUGACACUACUGCGAUAUUAACAAGUUUUGAAACCGUUAUAUGAAUGAAACCUAGGCUGGAACCUGGGAAACCGCAUUAAAACUUUCUGAGGGUUGAGUGGUUAUGGUGGCCUUAAUGUUGCUGUAGUAUUUGUGCGUUUUUUAAUUCAGGCUGUCAAGUAAAGGGUCUGUAAUGCUUUUAAAGUGUCUUCAAAUUUAUAGUGCUUUAACAUUUAAAUUUCACACAGAAAUGUGCCAGUUACUCUUGUUUAUUUGCUGUUUUUUUCAAUGGGACAGAAAGGUUUCCUGCCAAUGAAUAGAUUGUAAAUUUCGAUGUGGUCUCUAGGCAUCAUACAUGUUUGUCUCUGUUGACUCCUCUAUUAUUGGAGGGCCAAUUUAAAUUGUUUCCACUUCUCAUUCAAGGGAAUAUUCGCAGGGCUGCACUGUACAACUCAAACCAUCCAUUAAAUUUAGUUUUGAAGGUUUUUUUUUAUUGCUACCUCCCAAAUGUAUUAGUUGCUCAUUACAAAAUGCAUUCAACUCAAACCAAACUGCAUAUAGAGGUACAGUAACAUAAUGGAUAAAUAAAAAAUAAAAGUGCAUAAACUCUUUGCUAGUAUAAAGCAUGUGCAUAUGAACCUAAACAACAUGCAUUUUUUUUUGUCAGUGCAUAUAGUCCAUUUAUAAGUCAUUUAUAGGUCACCUGAGAGCAAAAGUUUGUGCAAGGAUUGUUAACUGAUUAUUUCUUAGUUAUGUUACAAAUUGAACUGUAUUAUAUAUUGAAUGCAUUAGGCUCGGUCAAAGACUUUAAAGUCACAAGGGAAACCUGUCAGAUGUUUUCAUUUAAUUUUGUUGCCAACUUUUGCAAAACCGAGGACUAUCUGAAUCUCCUCACAUGAAAAUGAUUCAAAUCUAAUGUUUUUGGUUGACAAUGUUUCUUUUUUCGAUGUUACAUGAUUUUCAGCUGUUGUCUGGAUAGAAGUUAUUUUUCUGAUGCCUUUAAAUGAUGUAAUCAAAGUAUUUUUUAUCAACACAUUGCAUCUGUGAAGAACACAACAAAGACGUGAGGUUCACACUCCAAAAUCGAAAGAAAAAUAAUGCAGAGAUUAUCUUUAUUUUAUGAAUUACUUAUGUAAAUAAGUAAGAUUUAUGUAUAAUUUCAACGGUUUUCUUCGACAGAGAUUUAUAUUGAAUUACCAAAACAUCCAAUGGAUAAUAAACAGGUUUAUCUGUA